This 119-nucleotide ribosomal RNA is filed under the name Pteropus alecto (black flying fox). The record is from RNAcentral. Lineage: Eukaryota; Metazoa; Chordata; Mammalia; Chiroptera; Pteropodidae.
GUCUAUAGCCAUGCCACCCUGAACAAGCCCGAUCCCAUCUGAUCUCGGAAGCUAAGCAGGAUCAGGCCUGGUUGGUACUUGGAUGGGAGACCACCUAGGAAGACCAGGUGCUGUAGGCG